AGCAGCCGCGGUAAUUCCAGCUCCAAUAGCGUAUAUUAAAGUUGUUGCAGUUAAAAAGCUCGUAGUUGAAUUUCGGGGUUCAUCCGUUGGCCGGGCUUUUUUGGUCUGUACUGGCGUGAUGGAUUCCUACCUUCUGAAUAACCAGCAUGUCAUUAAUUUGGUGCGCUGGGGAAGCAGGACUGUUACCUUGAAAAAAUUAGAGUGCUUAAAGCAGGCUAUCGCCUGAAUACAUUAGCAUGGAAUAAUGAAAUAGGACGGCAUGGUUCUAUUUUGUUGGUUUCUAGGAUCACCGUAAUGAUUAAUAGGGAUAGUUGGGGGCAUUAGUAUUCAAUUGUCAGAGGUGAAAUUCUUGGAUUUAUUGAAGACUAACUACUGCGAAAGCAUUUGCCAAGGAUGUUUUCAUUAAUCAAGAACGAAAGUUAGGGGAUCGAAGACGAUCAGAUACCGUCGUAGUCUUAACCAUAAACUAUGCCGACUAGGGAUCGGAUGAUGUUAUUUUUUAAUGACUCAUUCGGCGCCU
Molecule: ribosomal RNA, 520 nt
Filed under: uncultured Acaulospora
Lineage: Eukaryota; Fungi; Glomeromycota; Glomeromycetes; Diversisporales; Acaulosporaceae
Description: SSU rRNA
Rfam family: Eukaryotic small subunit ribosomal RNA
Source: RNAcentral